GAGUUUCACACCAACUGGUAAUUUCAGCCCAUAUGAGCAAGCCCAAAAAUAAAUGAUACUGUAUAUGUUUUUAAUUCAAAAUACUCAUUGUUAAUAAUAAGUUCACAGGUCAAUCUGUGCACCGGUAGUGUAUUAAGACACAGUAUAGCUGCAUAACCUAGAAUAUAGAUUCAUUAUUUGGCCAUCAGGAAAAAAGGUCUGAAUGCCUUACCAGCAGCUGCCUGACAGAUCAAAGUAGACAGAAUGAGCUUACUCCUGCGAUUACAACAUGACUCAGUAUGCCUUUACUUAACUGCCUAAUCUCUGUGGAUUACCUGACCUUGCUUGAGCCCUGAGGUAGAAGAUGAUGUUCACUGAAGAGAGAAAGUAAGGAGAGACGGACUAGAAAGAGGGAGACGGAUGGGGACGGCAAAAAGUAAAAGAAUUUAAGGAACAAACUGGACUUUUUACAGACGUCUACGGAGGACAACCAAGAGGACAGUGCACCCUGGAGAACACCAACCACUGCCUUCAACUCAAGUCUCAGAAAACCACAAGGCUGGUGAUAAAUUUGACUCUGGAGCCGGUGAACAUGUCUCACGAUCAGUGUGAAUCAGUGGCAGUGAGUGUGGAGUCCCUCCUGAAAGAUGCCAAGAGGAUGCAGCUGCAGUGCCGUGAACGCAGCGAGCAGCUCUCCAUGGCCGCCACGCAGCUCAGGGUGGAGUCGGCCACCCUGAGGGAGCAGUGCGAGGCCUCCCAACUCGACAUGGCCCGCAUCCGACGGCAGCUGGAGGAGCUGAUGGAUACCAAAUCCGCCUUCGAAGCCAGGGAGAGGCAGGCGCGUAAACUCAGCAAGCAGCUGUGAGGAAAUGAUUGAAACCAUCUGAUUGGCACCCAGGAGAGAGGGGGUCAAGAAGAAGGGGUUAAUCUUUAGAGACUCUGCAGGGGAGAAAAAUAAAUGGGUGAGGGAGGAAAGUAAGAGAUGGGAAAGAAAGUCAAGAGAAAGAGCAAAGGAAUAAUAUGCGACUUAAAAUGUGUCCUUUUAAGUUGGUGUCAACUUGAGCAGAACCUAGAAUAGAGUUUAGGACAGAAUAUUGCUUAGGACAUUUUGGUAAAAUUGACAAUUUUGAAGAAAAAAAUGUGUGGUUUGUCAGAGAAGUUGAGGGAAGAAAGCACUUUAUCAGUAUUGACAGCUCUAUCUCGGCCACAAAAAUUUUAUCCCCCUCCUCUUUCCCACUUUUUAUGUCAAAUAAACACCGUCCAAAUACA
Molecule: long non-coding RNA, 1248 nt
Organism: Micropterus dolomieu (smallmouth bass)
Lineage: Eukaryota; Metazoa; Chordata; Actinopteri; Centrarchiformes; Centrarchidae
Exons: 3
Source: RefSeq, a predicted model, not a curated record